UACGUAGGGUGCGAGCGUUAAUCGGAAUUACUGGGCGUAAAGCGUGCGCAGGCGGUUAUGCAAGACAGAUGUGAAAUCCCCGGGCUCAACCUGGGAACUGCAUUUGUGACUGCAUGGCUAGAGUGCGGCAGAGGGGGAUGGAAUUCCGCGUGUAGCAGUGAAAUGCGUAGAUAUGCGGAGGAACACCGAUGGCGAAGGCAAUCCCCUGGGCCUGCACUGACGCUCAUGCACGAAAGCGUGGGGAGCAAACAGG
RNAcentral lists this ribosomal RNA (253 nucleotides) under uncultured bacterium. RNAcentral's name for it is "partial 16S ribosomal RNA". It matches the Rfam family "Bacterial small subunit ribosomal RNA", at positions 524 to 776 of the family's 1533-position model. The record is from RNAcentral.